GAUGAACGCUGGCGGCGUGCCUAAUACAUGCAAGUCGAGCGAACAGACGAUGAGCUUGCUCCUCUGACGUGAGCGGCGGACGGGUGAGUAACACGUGGAUAACCUACCUAUAAUACUGAGAUAACUUCGGGAAACCGGAGCUAAUACCGGAUAAUAUAUUGAACCGCAUUGUUCAAUAGUGAAAUACGGUUUUGCUGUCACGUAUAGAUGGAUCCGCGCUGCAUGAGCUGGUUGGUAAGGUAACGGCUUACCAAGGCAACGAGGCGUAGCCGACCUCAGAGGGUGAUAGGCCACCUUGGAGCGGGGACACGGUCAAGACUCCUACGGGAGGCAGCAGUAGGGAAUCGUCCGCAACGGGCGAAAGUAUGACGGAACAACGCGGCGUGAGUGAUGAAGGUCUUCGGAUCGUAAAACUCUGUUAUUAGGGAAGAACAAAUGUGUAAGUAACUAUGGACGUCUUGACGGUAACUAAUCAGAAAGCAACGGCUAACUACGUG
RNAcentral lists this ribosomal RNA (497 nucleotides) under uncultured bacterium. Its description in RNAcentral is "partial 16S ribosomal RNA". It matches the Rfam family "Bacterial small subunit ribosomal RNA", at positions 28 to 507 of the family's 1533-position model. The record is from RNAcentral.